UCAGUCUUCCCGCACCGGGGACUCACCCAGAUCUCUUGGGUCUGCCCCUACCUGGCUUCCAGCUGCCCCAGCUGUCACCGCCCACCCCAGGAUGCAAUGGCGCAGCUCCCCCGGCUGAGCCGUUUGGGUGCUCCCUCUCUUUGGGACCCAGCCUCCCCUGCUCCCACCUCAGGCCCCAGACCUCGGCUUUGGGAAGGUCAAGAUGUGCUGGCAAGAUGGACUGAUGGGCUCCUGUACUUGGGCACCAUCAAAAAGGUGGACAGUGCGCGGGAGGUGUGUCUGGUCCAGUUUGAGGAUGAUUCCCAGUUUCUAGUUCUAUGGAAGGACAUCAGCCCAGCCGCCCUUCCUGGUGAGGAGCUCCUCUGUUGUGUGUGU
RNAcentral lists this long non-coding RNA (375 nucleotides) under Rattus norvegicus (Norway rat). Its description in RNAcentral is "long non-coding RNA NONRATT017150". The record is from RNAcentral. Lineage: Eukaryota; Metazoa; Chordata; Mammalia; Rodentia; Muridae.